CUCCCAGGCGCUCUCCAGCCUCGGAGUGUCUUGACUGCGAUCCCUGCAGCCGCCGCAGCUCCCUCCGGCCUCUGUCUCCCACCUCAGCUUUGGAGUAGGGCAGCCCUGGCCGCAGCAAACCCUGUCCACCCCACCCCCUACCCCCGUGCAUAUAUGCAUGGGAAGAAAAGCGCUGGUUUUGAGGGGAUGCUCUGAUACAAUUAAAAAGCAAACGGAAAACUCUGUCCAAAUGGAGAGCAGCAAUUACUCACUGCCAGGACAUUCGGAAAUAACUUUUAAGGUCUGGAAUCAAUCCAUACAUUGAUAUUCAAGGCCGCAGCACAUAUGGGGUGGGUGUCCACUUUUUUUCUUUUUCUUUCUUAUUUUUCCUGAUCAAGGGGACCCUUGCUUCUUGUCAGCCAUGAAUGUUUGCUUAUGCUUGGAGUGCAAAGGCUCAAAGAGAUUCCAGUUCCAUGGUUUGCCACAACUGACUCAGAGGCAGCUGCCUGAGGAAAACACCUGGUUAAGGCUCAGAAGAAGCCUGUAAUUUGAAUAUGUUUAAUCUCCUUUCUCAGGACUGACAGUUAAAAAAUGGACACUUCAUAGAAAUCUGAAAAAUAGGCUUACUUAGAAAAAAUGUUGUGUUUAUAGUAUGUUUGGAACUGGUGUGUCCUGUUUUCUGAAAUCGUGAUCUUUUUAUUCCUGCUUUAACUUCAGGUCCUCUCCACCCUCCUCAUAGUCCACAGUGAAGUCAUAAACCUCUCCAUAGCAACUAAUUGGGAGGUUAUAAUCAGGGGAUUAUUACUUCAGGCAGGGGGGAAAUAGGAGGAAUAAAUGAGUUCUUCAAAACAAUAUCCUGUUUUCAUGCAAAAUACUAAUCUAAAAUAAAAAAUCUACAAAGAAAGAU
This is a long non-coding RNA of Sarcophilus harrisii (Tasmanian devil), 886 nucleotides long. RefSeq lists it as uncharacterized. The transcript is spliced from 2 exons. NCBI's taxonomy places the organism in Eukaryota, Metazoa, Chordata, Mammalia, Dasyuromorphia, Dasyuridae. The record is from RefSeq and is a predicted model, not a curated record.